UUUAAAUGUUUCAUAAGCAGAACAAUAAAAUGACAUUUUACAGUAUAACCAAAUUAGGUGAUAUGCACAUAUUAUGCACGUCAUGUAUCAAAACAAACUUUUCUUUUUUGUCAGCAGGUUGAAAAUGCCACUCCUUCAGCUGUUCACAUAACUGACACAGAAGAAGCCACUGUUGCAGCAGGAGAUAUUGCAGAAGAGCUGACAAUUACACCAAUGCCAUUCAUUCAAAUAAUACCAAUUUUUAAUAUUAAAGAGAUUCUCAUGGCCUCCCAUGAGGGGAGAUGGAUUUCAGCAGCUUUAGAGAAGGAAAAAAGCAUCACAAUUAAACAGAGACGUGCACUGGUGCGAAUCCUGGUGGCCUUUUUAAUUGAAAAGUUUGGCGAAAUGCCAACUUCUGACACCAAGAAGGCUAUGGCAAUGGCGUUAAUUGAAGAGUUUCCCUGCCUUAAAGACAUCAGAGGCAAUGGCUAUGAGGCAUUUUACACACCAGGCCGGAACCACCGUCCAGCCACAGGCUUCAUUGAGGAGCGCUUACGAAACAUCAGAAAGAGAAUGAGAAAACUUUCCAGACCUCAAAGACAUGAAGAGGACACAUCACAUAGGAUGGUAAUCCCUGAACCUACUAUUCCAACGGAGAGAGCCCAAAGUCUUGUGAACUGGCUGAAAAAUAACCAUGCACCUAUUAACCAAGUGGUAGAAAAUAUGAAGGAGACAGCCUUAUAUCGGGCUAAGUGGAUCCGACAGAAUGGGACAAAGAGCAUCACAGAGGUUCUCCAUGAGUUCCCGCAUCUCUUGAACACACCUGGCAUGAUUUCCCAAGACUUUGAUCAGGUCCAUGGAGAAACUGGACUGAAGCUUUUUGAAUCGUGGGCCAAUUUCUUUGCUGACAGAAUUCUAAGGAUUGCGAUUAAGGAAGAAAAACUGAAUAAGACUUGGGAGAACAUUCCACAAGAGAAUCGAGGUGAUGUUGCUCUUUUGGUCCUUCCCCUACUUCUUCCUCCCACGGUAUACAGAAUUGGUCAGAAGGUCUUUCGACCAUCCAUUGACGAAGCUAGGAAGGCCUUCAUUGAUCUUCAACCAGUUGGAACAAAUAUGGUUGAAUUCAUUAACCGGCCAGAGUCCACAAAACACCAUCCCUUUGUCAUGGCUAUGGGAAAUGGCCAGCAAAUCUCCCAGGCAUUUGUGAUAAUCAAUGGACAGGCUCUGGAGCAGAGCACACUGCUCGCAGCUGUAGAUCUUUGUUUCAAAGCUUUCUAUGUCUUUGACAUGAACUACCCCAAGCAGUGCGCAUCGACCUGGGAGUUCAUGCAGCAUGUCGUCUUCCAAAUAGAGGGCAAUGAAACAUCUGCAGUUCGUUUUCUUCGCACAUCCUUAUUCGCUGAAGAGUAACUUUAAACACUGUAAUUCAGUCUACCUACAAGUCUAUAAUUUAUACUCCAUUUUCCCUCCUUUCUCUCACGCUAUUUUUAUUCUCUGGACACUUUCUGGUAACUCGUAACCUCAAGGUCAUUGACGCUGCAAGUUAAGCAUUUAAAAAUAGUCCCAUACCAAAUUCUAAUCAAAUUUUUAAGUGGUUAUAUGUAUGACUUUCUGUCUGUCUUUCUUUAAAAAACUGUAAUUGUUAUUUAUAUACUAUUUAUGUACUUGAUAUAAAUUUUAGGACAUCUUUAAAUUAUUUAGCAUUCUCUGUCAUAUAAAAUUUUAAUGGUCAAUGUCAUUUCACUAUCUUAUUAAAUAGUUAAACGUAAAAAUGUAAUAAACAGUUUUUGCAUUUGCUGAAAAUAAAAAUGAAACAUUUUUUGUGCAGUUUGUCACUGGUACAAAUUUAAACAUUUAUUUGUUGGUUGGCAUUAAAAAUAAAAUUGGAAAAGUGUAAACCUGUUUUUUUUUUCUUUUCAUUAUUUAUUUAAUCUAUGAUUGUCUGGUUAAAUGUAGGCAAAAUUAUGAGAAUAACCCAGCAAGAAUAACCCAGAAUAGCAAACAUAAAUGGUAAAAAUGACUAUAUCUUGGGUUUUCUCAACAACCCAGCCUGCUGGGUUAAAGUGUGUAACCCAGCAUGCUGGGUUACGUUAACCCAGCAUGUGUUCUGUCCAAUAUUUACCCAGCGCUGGGUUGCCAAUUGGGUUAUUUUUAACCCAGCCAUUUUUAGAGUGUUUCAUCUCUAUGUUUCAUGAAACAAAAUAAAAAUAAAAAAUAAAAAGGGCCAUUUUGUGUCUACCCCAUGUGCUUUCUUUGUUUGAAAGACCGAGAACAGUCAUGUCGUGGAUUUACAUACAUUAAUGUAUUUAAGUCUAAUUAACGCAUCGCUUGCACACGUUACGCCAUCUGUUGGAUGUAAAUUCUUGUUUUGGUUUUGUGUUGUGGCAUGUCUGUGUGUGGCAGCUUUUCUAUUUUAAACAUUUCUGCACAGUAAUUCCUAUGUAGGAAUGAUAAAAUAAAACAUAUUAUUUCAAAGUUAAGAUGCAUGACAUAAAUAAUUCUAAAUAAAGUCAGUGAAGUAGUCUAUAAGUGAUAUAGUUUAUGUAAAACAUAUAUAUCUCCUACAGGGGGCGCCAAAGUUCUUAUAAAGCCUGACAUUAGAUCAACUGUACGAGACACAUGGUUUAUUUUUUCCCCAUUAAAGAACUGAUUAUAGAUUGACUUUUUGGAAACCAUUUAAUAUGAAAUAAAGCAUUAAAUAAAAAAUACAAAUACAAUAAGCAGGUUAGAUGCAUAUAUUCAAAACGCCAAAAUGUUAGUUUUCUACCUGAGGAAUGACUCUUAUCAUAUGAAACAGGCUAGCUGACUCUUGUUUUCAGUCCACAGGUAUCAGCCUGUAUGAUCAGGAAGACCUCAGACAGCUGUGUGUUAAGGUUACAGACUCAUUGAACCCAUUCCUGUCUAUCAGCCUGUCGAGCUUUGAAAAAGCCAGGGACCUUUUCCCAGGAACCCCGAGAGGGAAAGGAAUAAGAAGGCGAAAAAAGUAAACACAAAACAACUUUCAAGUCACCACAUCCGUCAGUGAAAGGAAAGCUUUAUUUUUAGCAUUAGCAGCGGGGUGAUUUCUGGCGCUCAGUACGUGAAAUGGCAGAGACCCUGCUGCAGGGCCGUGCACAGACCUUUUGAGGGGCAUGUGCUGAAACUGAAAAAGGGCACCCCCCUCCCUUUUUUUAUAUCAAGAUUAUUUAGUAAGCCUGCAUAAAAGAAAGAAAUGGUCACAUCUUCAUGACAAAUUCAAUAACACAACUCAAUUCCAGAUUAUAAGAAACUAUAGCCAUACCGUUACUAUAACAUAUCCAACAUGUAUCCGCCUACCUGGCAAAAAUUUGAUACUGUGGUGGACCAGGGAUGUUGGUCUCUUGAAGGUUUCUUAUUCACUACACUUUCCCUAAAAUAAGCCAGCAAUGAAAAAAUAAAUAAAAAUAGUGUGAAAAGUACAGUUGCAGUGAAAAGCAUUUCUGAAGGAUCACGUGACACUGAAGAGUACUGAACUGGAGUAAUGAUGCUGAAAAUUCAGCUUUGAUCACAAAAAUAAAUUACAUUUUAAAAUAUAUUCAAAUAGAAAACAGUUAUUUAAAAUUGUAAAAAUAUUACACAAUAUUACUGUUUUUGCUGUAUUUUGGAUCAAAUAAAUGAAGCCUUGGAAUGAAUAAUGAAUUACAUUCUGCAUGAUAAAAUAUAAAGAUUUCACAGUGAUCUUCUGUAAUUUUUUUUUAGUUACUACUACAUUACUGUAGUAAAACCAUGUUUUACUACAUUUUAUACAUGUGAGUACGAGCGGAGAGUAUACCAUAACAUGAUUAGCCUAAAUGUUAAUAAAUUAAGUGUAUCAGCAAUCAUAAAUCAAAGAAGAAAUUUCUUAUAUAUGUUAUCUAGGUGACGAGGAUCGCUCGUCGCUUUGUGUAAGUUCCAGUACGAAACAGCGCGGGGACGCACCUGUUGAUUUUCCGAUGGUAAAAACAAAUUAUAUGUUGUUGUAUUACUUAUCAAUAUAUAGUUUUUGACCAGCGAAUGUGUGGAAAUGUGAAUUUUGUUUUUUGGUCCGUCAUUAAAACGGCGACGGCGCCUCACAUUACAUUUUCAUCUACAGGUUACAAACUAGUUUUUGUAGUUAUAUAGACGGAGCGCUCAGUUUUUCCUGUGGUAAAAUGCAUUUGGCCAAAAUCGCAUUUUAUAAAAGAUGAAAUGCUACUGUAUGCACAGGCUAUUUAAGUGUUGGCUAUGUAUUGGCUAUAACUAGAUGGCAAAUGCUAGCCCUCUCUCUCAGGCGACGUCCCACGUCUCAGUCAGUGAGUCAGUCAGACAUCAAAUAAAUAAAAUAUGAGCCUUUAUAGACAUAGUGUUUAGUAGUACUUAUUCAAACAACAAGAUAUUUAUUUACCCUUCGCAAAACUUUGUUCAGCUCAGCUGUUGUCUACUGUGCGGCUGCUGUGGAACUUCAGUUGAUUCAAUGAAUAUAGAGGGGGCGGAGUUAUCAGCUUACUGACAGCUUGAGGAUCGAAUAAGAUUUACACAAGCUCGUUUUAAGAACUUUCAUUUGCUAAAUAUUUGUAAAAUAGACAGACAGACGUAAAGGGUGACCAAUAGCAUUGAUUAAAAAAAGAAAACACCACCAAAAAAAGGGCACUUCGGAGUGUAAGGGCAAAAAGGGCAUGUGCUCUGCACAGGUUGAGCCCUACCUGUGCACGUGCCUGCCCUGCUGAGCUCUCGGAGUCCUUAAUGAAAGCGCUCGCUCAGUCUCUCACGCGCUCGGCUGUCUGUGUGUUAGAAGCGCGUUGCAUAACUACUAGUGACGCCUGUGCCGUUUCUCACUGUUGCCAGGGACGGCGGGCAUCUGCCCUCCCGCUUCACAGUCACCGCGUCGUUCCUGGAGUCAUACAUCUGAGACCCCUCAAUGUAUUAACAAAGAAGUUCGUUUUCAAAGUAUACAGCUCGAAAUAAAACCAUGAUCAGAGGUAGGCUACUUUCUUUUAUAGCUUAACUUUAUUUUGCUUUAUUUAUUCAGUUGUGUUUUAUUUCAUAUUUAACAUUAUUUCGUUUUUUCUAAACUUUGAAGAAAUAGUACAGAUGCAAAUAGGACAAUUAAUAACUAAUGAGUAUAAAAUAAUAGGAUAGCCUAUAACACACACACACACACACACAUAUAUAUAGACUAUUACUGAGCUAUAAAGUUAUAAAUAAAUAUAAAAUAACUAUUGUAUAAUAGUUAUUUUAUUUUUUAAAUGGCAAUAGCCUAAUUAAAAAGUUUAGUGUGAGUAAGAUUCCUUUUUUUCUUUUUUUAUUAUUAAUACUUUUGUUCAGCAAGGACACAUUAGAUCAAAAUUUAAAGUACAGACAUAAUGUUGAAAAUACUUUUUCAAAUAAAUUUCAAAUAAAUUAUAUUUAUUAUUAUUAUUAUUAUUAUUAUUAUUAUUAUUAUUAUUAUUAUUAUUAUAUUCUAUUCAUCUUAGA
Molecule: long non-coding RNA, 5430 nt
Organism: Cyprinus carpio carpio
Lineage: Eukaryota; Metazoa; Chordata; Actinopteri; Cypriniformes; Cyprinidae
Source: Ensembl